RNAcentral lists this ribosomal RNA (1357 nucleotides) under uncultured bacterium. Its description in RNAcentral is "bacterial SSU rRNA". It matches the Rfam family "Bacterial small subunit ribosomal RNA", at positions 21 to 1399 of the family's 1533-position model. The record is from RNAcentral.
GGCUCAGGAUGAACGUUGGCGGUGUGCCUAAUACAUGCAAGUCGGACGGUGACGAUUUUGUAGCAAUACGAAUGAAAUCAUAGUGGCGAACGGGUGAGUAACGCGUUGGUGAUCUGCCUCGAAGUGUGGAAUAACUUCCCGAAAGGGUAGCUAAUACCGCAUAGUCUCUCAAGGUUUAGAAAAUUGAGAGUAAAGGAUUUAUUCGCUUCGAGAGGAGCCUGCGUCCCAUCAGCUAGUUGGUAGGGUAAUAGCCUACCAAGGCAAUGACGGGUAGGGGACCUGAGAGGGGUGGCCCCCCACAAUGGAACUGAAACACGGUCCAUACACCUACGGGUGGCAGCAGUAGAGAAUAUUAGAAAUGGGCGAAAGCCUGAUCUAGCAACACCGCGUGUGCGAUGAAGGCCUUCGGGUUGUAAAGCACUUUUUGGAGGGAAUAGGAAGGAAGGUACCUCCAGAAUAAGUCUCGGCUAACUACGUGCCAGCAGCCGCGGUAACACGUAGGAGGCAAACGUUAUCCGGAUUCACUGGGCGUAAAGCGCGUGUAGGUGGUUCUGUAAGUAGGGCGUGAAAGCUCCCGGCUCAACUGGGAGAGGCCGUACUAAACUGCAGAGCUAGAGGAUGGUAGAGGGAGGUGGAAUUCCAGGUGUAGUGGUGAAAUGCGCAGAUAUCUGGAGGAACACCAGUGGCGAAGGCGGCCUCCUGGACCAUUCCUGACACUCAGACGCGAAAGCUAGGGUAGCAACCUGAAAGAGAGACUCCGGUAGUCCUAGCCCUAAACGAUGCAGACUAGGCGUCGGCGGUUUAAUCACCGUCGGUGUCCAAGCUAACGCGAUAAGUCUGCCGCCUGAGGACUACGGCCGCAAGGCUAAAACUCAAAGGAAUUGACGGGUCCCCGCACAAGCAGCGGAGCGUGUGGUUUAAUUCGAUGCUCCGCGAAGAACCUUACCUGGGUUUGACAUAACAGUGGUAGAGAAGUGAAAACGGAUCGACCCUUCGGGGAGCUGUUACAGGUGUUGCAUGCCUGUCGUCAGCUCGUGUCGUGAGAUGUUCGGUUAAGUCCGCUAACGAGCGCAACCCGCGCUGUGUGUUACAAGUGUCACACAGUACCGCCGGUAUUAAGUCGGAGGAAGGUGCGGAUGACGUCAAGUCAGCAUGACCUUUAUAUCCAGGGCUACACACACGCUACAAUGGUCAGAACAAUAGGUUGCCAAGCCGCAAGGCGGAGCCAAUCCUCCAAAUCUGGCCUCAGUUCAGAUUGCAGGCUGCAACUCGCCUGCAUGAAGUCGGAGUUGCUAGUAACCGCAGGUCAGCAUACUGCGGUGAAUAAGUUCCCGGGGAUUGUACACACCGCCCGUCA